Long non-coding RNA from Sardina pilchardus (European sardine), 732 nucleotides. RefSeq lists it as uncharacterized. The transcript is spliced from 3 exons. The record is from RefSeq and is a predicted model, not a curated record. Lineage: Eukaryota; Metazoa; Chordata; Actinopteri; Clupeiformes; Clupeidae.
CUGGGCUGUGCAGAGUGCAAAAAGGCUGCCCUCAUUCAUACGGUCAUUCUGACUGAAUCUGAUAUGAUCUGAUACUGAUUACCUGAAAAUCAUUUAUCUUUGUUUUAACCGUUUUAAUCUUUGUGUUUCAAGUGUCUGUGAACACAAACAUGCAGCAGAGUCGUGAAACCCCUCAAUCCCGUCCAGGCCUUCCAAACAGGACUCCUCUAAUGUCUGUGAACACACACGCAGCAUGGUUGUGAAACCCUUCAAUCCCAUCCAGGCCUUCCACACAGGACCCCUCUAACUGUUGAAAGGCUGAGCAGGUUGGACUCCAGCUGAAAAUGGACUAUGUAAAACAACUCCAAAAAACAAUGCACAAUACACCUUCAUUUUGACAAUAGGCCUAUUUCAUAUUUUAUAGCUGAUUCUGGUUAUUUUCUAAUAAUCUUCUUUACACUAGAUUUAAAUGUAAUGUAAAUUAAUGACAUCUAGCUUCUGUUUAAUACAAACAUAACAGCUGCAUGUACACUAUACUGGCCAUCCCCAAACUUCCCACAAAGUUGGGAGCAUGGAAUUGUCCAUAGUCACGUCUGCAGUCGUCUACAUUAAGUCGAAUCCACCUAUUGAUUGACUGACUGACUGACUGGCUGUUUUAUUUUAAACUGACAGACUAUUUGAAGGGAUUUGUUAUUUUUGUUGUAUUUGUCAAUGUGAUUAGGUGAGUGUUGAAAUAAAUCUGAAUUAAAUAAA